This 122-nucleotide transfer RNA is filed under the name Paenibacillus lignilyticus. RNAcentral's name for it is "tRNA-OTHER". It matches the Rfam family "tRNA". Rfam says of the family: Transfer RNA (tRNA) molecules are approximately 80 nucleotides in length. Their secondary structure includes four short double-helical elements and three loops (D, anti-codon, and T loops). The record is from RNAcentral. Lineage: Bacteria; Bacillati; Bacillota; Bacilli; Caryophanales; Paenibacillaceae.
GGCGUGGUGGUGAAAUGGAAAAACACACGGGUACAGUGCAACCGCUACCCAGUGAAAUUCAUCACGGUCGGUUGUCACACCUUUCACGUCCGGAUAUGCGGGUCCGAGUCCCGUCCACGCCA